UAAGGAAUAUUGGUCAAUGGGCGGAAGCCUGAACCAGCCAUGCCGCGUGCAGGAAGACGGCCCUACGGGUUGUAAACUGCUUUUGUACGGGAAUAAACCUCAUUACGUGUAAUGAGCUGAAUGUACUGUAAGAAUAAGGAUCGGCUAACUCCGUGCCAGCAGCCGCGGUAAUACGGAGGAUCCAAGCGUUAUCCGGAUUUAUUGGGUUUAAAGGGUGCGUAGGUGGCUUUUUAAGUCAGGGGUGAAAGACGGCAGCUUAACUGUCGCAGUGCCUUUGAUACUGAAGAGCUUGAAUCCACUUGAGGUAGGCGGAAUGUGACAAGUAGCGGUGAAAUGCAUAGAUAUGUCACAGAACACCAAUUGCGAAGGCAGCUUACUAAAGUGGUAUUGACACUGAGGCACGAAAGCGUGGGGAUCAAACA
This 422-nucleotide ribosomal RNA is filed under the name uncultured Mucilaginibacter sp. RNAcentral's name for it is "bacterial SSU rRNA". It matches the Rfam family "Bacterial small subunit ribosomal RNA", at positions 355 to 774 of the family's 1533-position model. Lineage: Bacteria; Pseudomonadati; Bacteroidota; Sphingobacteriia; Sphingobacteriales; Sphingobacteriaceae. The record is from RNAcentral.